AUUGAACGCUGGCGGCAGGCUUAACACAUGCAAGUCGAGCGGGGUGAUGGUGCUUGCACUAUCACUUAGCGGCGGACGGGUGAGUAAUGCUUAGGAAUCUGCCUAUUAGUGGGGGACAACAUCUCGAAAGGGAUGCUAAUUCCGCAUACGUCCUACGGGAGAAAGCAGGGGAUCACUUGUGACCUUGCGCUAAUAGAUGAGCCUAAGUCGGAUUAGCUAGUUGGUGGGGUAAAGGCCUACCAAGGCGACGAUCUGUAGCGGGUCUGAGAGGAUGAUCCGCCACACUGGGACUGAGACACGGCCCAGACUCCUACGGGAGGAAGCAGUGGGGAAUAUUGGACAAUGGGGGGAACCCUGAUCCAGCCAUGCCGCGUGUGUGAAGAAGGCCUUAUGGUUGUAAAGCACUUUAAGCGAGGAGGAGGCUCUUUUGGUUAAUACCCAAGAUGAGUGGACGUUACUCGCAGAAUAAGCACCGGCUAACUCUGUGCCAGCCGCCGCGGUAA
RNAcentral lists this ribosomal RNA (503 nucleotides) under uncultured bacterium. RNAcentral describes it as "partial 16S ribosomal RNA". It matches the Rfam family "Bacterial small subunit ribosomal RNA", at positions 30 to 523 of the family's 1533-position model. The record is from RNAcentral.